This 3726-nucleotide ribosomal RNA is filed under the name Triticum aestivum (bread wheat). RNAcentral describes it as "partial small subunit ribosomal RNA". The record is from RNAcentral. Lineage: Eukaryota; Viridiplantae; Streptophyta; Magnoliopsida; Poales; Poaceae.
CUAAAAACAUUGCUCUUUUUUUCUGGUAUCCUCCUCGUGCCCGAGCGGAGGAGAGGGAGAGCGGGUUCAGGAGCAGCGACGGCGGCGGUGGUGGUGGGUGCGACACCGUUAGAGGCCGCUCGAGGCCGCGGCGUGUUGUGCGGGGUCUCGAGGGGUGCCAGGCGCAGAGGGAGGGGAGGCCGGUCUAAGACGCGAGGGCUGGAGAUGGCGGGCCAGCGUUGCGGUGGGGACACCGAUCCCAAACCCCGUCCCGAAGCGGCGGCGCAGAGGCCGCCGGGGCCCAAGCAGGGAGAAGGAUGGACCAGCCCUAGGUGGUGGGGAUGUGGAGUGGAAGCUGCGGUACCCUCAAGGGGUAGGUGGUACCAGCAGCGGCAGUUCCCGAAGAAGUGCUUCUACACUUCCUGCGGUACCUGGACGUCGAGGAAAAGAGGAGGUGGUGCCUGCGGCGGAGUGGGAAGGUUCGGCGGUCCGUGGGAUGUUUGCCCAGCCGGGUGUCGAGGAGGCGAGGAGACGGUAGAACUCUACGUGGACCUAGACCCGCUAAAGUCCCGGAAGUACCGAAAUCUUAGCCGGAGAGCAAGCCCUAGUCAAACCUAGAUCCUGUUCGGUUGGUACGACGACGCGGUUCGAGGAGAACUAUAUCAAAUGUACUUACGAUAGGCCCUCUUCCGUUUAUAGUCCUCGUUUAUUUUAGUUAGGGACAUGUUUAUUUUUGUGAGGGACGUUAGAUGGUAAAAAAACUCCUUAAUCGGUGUAAUCUCAUCAACUAUGUAACCUACUCAUAAGUCUUCCACGUCAGUUAAAAAGGAAACCGUAGAUCGGGAGGACAACCAUAUUAUUACGUUUAACGGAAAAAAUUUUUUUUAACCAGGAAGUAAAGAAAAGAAGCUCAAUAGACACAUAGAAAAUUCGAAAACGAUCCGCUCCUUUCCACCUGGUUCAUCAGAUCGUCUUGGUUAACGUAAAAACCCCAUAACCGAAGUCUAACCUCACCCUUCCAUAUCUAUACACAAGAAAGGUGUUCUUCUUGUUACUUAUGAUGAUGUUAGAAAAGAUCGUACCAAACAAGAGUCGGUGGACUCAAAAUAUUAGGAAGAUUUUGUCAGUGAAGGAAAGUAUACUUACGUGAAAAUCGUCUACUAUAAGACUGACCAGACGAUAUAAAACAAGUACUUCUGCAAGUACAAAUGAGGGACAAGUUAAGUUCAGACUUUCUAAGUAUAAACCCACCUGUCCAAAGUGACUAACUUUUAUAAACUCUACGAGAAAAACUACAUACCGUUAUACGAUAGAGUUUAUACCAUCUGCUCCUUAUGCCCGAGAAAACUUCUAUUUAUUUGAUCUAUUUUUUCUUAACUUUAUCGGUUCGUUCAAAGUAACGUACAAUUAAUAUACCAGACGACAUGACUUGGAAAAAGACGUUAAAAGAAUAAACAAGACGAACUUUUUCGAUUGUGACUAGAAAACGAUGCAAAACACAAUUACUCAUUUACAAAACAUGUCUUUUAGUCACGAUCUCUAAUCUUAACGGAGUAUAUAUUAUGAGGUAGACAGAGUAAUAUAUUCUGUAAAAAAGUACUCCAUCAUGGUUUAUACGGAAAUACACGAAAGAAGUUGUUCAGUUUACACACUGACUGGAGGUGGGUGGAGGGGUAAGCGUUGUUCGUGGUCCUGCACUGAAGCCAAGACGGUUCAUCCAAAAUUAUUUGUUUAGGAAGGAUUUAAUACUCAACAAAAGAAUGACUCGUUUGUCUUACGGGUUGUAAGGUUAAACACUACAAUUCCGAUUGUUCUCUACGUAUAUAGUAUAAAUUGUAUGAUAGACGUGAGAAGGAUUAAAUCAAAAAAAAAACGAACAGGUCUUUCUUAUUUAACUACAAGCUAAACUGAUGUUGGGAUGUUACAAACGAGACUUUCCGUACAUGAAAUUUUUUUCUGUACUACACGUAAACGUAUCAAACUGUUUAAGGCUAGUUACUUGACAUAAAACAAAAGACAAAAGUAACAUUGUAGUUGGAAUGCACCAAUAAGAAUAGUUACAAACUUGACUUCAAUAUGUUAUCUCCCGUACAUGAACUAACAAAAUCACAGUUAUAUAAGUCUUCUGUACCUAGGUAGUGCCUUCCUCAUCUCCUUCUGGUACCUUUCCUCCUCAAUGAUCCUCGUCUUAUGACCACUCAAUUGAAGCCAAAAGUCUUAACUUCGAAGUUAGUCCACUUCACCAAGGAAACCUGUAACUAUAGACGACGUAUUAUAUACAUCUAUUUCCUUUUAACUUAAUUCUUGAGUUAGCCUCGUCUCUGGUACUCAACACCUGGUAUAUUACAACAGACGAAGUGAAAGUCAAAGACGACCCUUUUAAACGUCUUGGCCUAUUACAGAGUUGUGACUGAUCUUCUUUCCUUCGGUGUAUAUCGACCAAGCCGGUCGGUUGAUUAGGUACUUUAAAUGGAAGAAACAGAAAGGAAAAAUUACGAGUAGUGUAAAAAUAUAUACACGUGGUAUCAAUUUCAAACGUUUAUAAUAACGCGUUUUCGUCAGACAAGGAACGUGGACAAAACGUUCGACCUAAUAAGUUUCUUAUAUAUGUUUCUACCUUUUCCGUCAGCACAGUCUAAUUACACCCCUCCCGUUAUAACCCAUCUCUAAGAACGUAGACGUGCAAUUCAAACACCGUUAGCACUUAACGAAAUAAAAGGACGGUAAGCAUAAAGAACACACUUAUUGUAGUUCUACUAAAACUCGGACCUUUGAAGUUCGCACAGUAUUCCGUCCUUUGUUUAGACAUCUCUUCAUAUCCACUACACGAUCUUUUGUACCGGCACGGUGACUAAAAAGUCGACCAGCACGAAGUAGACAUACUACGAAAACAACUAAUGGUCGAAUACAUCCAACGAAUCUUCGCUCCGGAAGGGUAUCAACUGCUUCUAUACACAUUGGUCACUUCUUAUAAUCCUACCCUUAAAAUGGAUAAGAUACCUGAUCGAUGUCAAGAACCACGGAAUAUUUACUAUUUCUCUCCAGAAAGACUGAUUUAUUAUUAAAGGUAAUCAAUGAUGAAAAGUCAAAAUCUAAGGUAACAUUACAACGACUACUACAGUUGUGACCAAACUGAAGAGUAUAUAUGCUAGAGAUUAAUAAAGUCUUCUAUUAGUUAGACAAGUAUAGUAUGAUGAAGGGUAAUAUUGAAAGGGACACAUAUGAAACCAUCAUCACACGAAAUAAUAAUCCGGGGCAUUUCUAUACCUCAUUUAAGACGUGGCGAUACUGGAAAUGGAAGAAACAAUCAAAGAACCAGCAGAAAAGUCUAUAUGUUAACAAAUGGUUUAGCGCCGAAACGUCCCUCCUCCACAACAGCGGUUGGAGUGCAACUACACGCCAUGAACGCGGAGAGACGAAGUAUACCUGUAUUCCGUGGUUUGAUCUUGUAAAGGUAGUACAAUAAACCACAAAUCUUUCACAAAUAGACAUUCGAUGUAAUUAUGUGAUCAUCAGGGUGUUGCAAAACGUAUACUUAUCAACAUCUUCUUUGUACUAUUGUCCAAAGAAAACAACGAUUGCACAUCUCAAUGACAUGUUUACGUAAAAAACGAUGUCUAAAUGCCCAGUAAUAAAUCGAUAAAGCCAAGGAGGAAUACUUAUCUAAAAAGAUACAUAUACCGCCUUCUAUUAUAUCUGGAGAUAAACAUUUGUAGGUAUAUCAAACACCUUUUACCUUUUGGAAUG